Molecule: ribosomal RNA, 460 nt
Filed under: uncultured bacterium
Lineage: Bacteria
Description: partial 16S ribosomal RNA
Rfam family: Bacterial small subunit ribosomal RNA
Source: RNAcentral
CCUACGGGAGGCAGCAGUGAGGAAUAUUGGUCAAUGGACGAGAGUCUGAACCAGCCAAGUAGCGUGAAGGAUGACUGCCCUAUGGGUUGUAAACUUCUUUUAUCUGGGAAUAAAAUGUUCCACGUGUGGGACUUUGUAUGUACCAUAUGAAUAAGGAUCGGCUAACUCCGUUCCAGCAGCCGCGGUAAACCGGAGGAUCCGAGCGUUAUCCGGAUUUAUUGGGUGUAAAGGGAGCGUAGGUGGAUUGUUAAGUCAGUUGUGAAAGUUUGCGGCUCAACCGGAAAAUUGCAGUUGAGACUGGCAGGCUUGAGUACAGUAGAGGUGGGCGGAAUUCGUGGUGUAGCAGUGAAAUGCUUAGAUAUCACGAAGAACUCCGAUGGCGAAGGCAGUUCACUGGACUGCAACUGACACUGAGGCUCGAAAGUGUGGGUAUCAAACAGGAUUAGAUACCCUAGUAGUC